This is a non-coding RNA of Phalacrocorax carbo (great cormorant), 734 nucleotides long. The record is from RefSeq and is a predicted model, not a curated record. NCBI's taxonomy places the organism in Eukaryota, Metazoa, Chordata, Aves, Suliformes, Phalacrocoracidae.
UCCAAAUAAUUCCUUACUUUGCCAAAUGUGGAUAUGACUGCCCAAGGCCUGCAGAAAACCUAACAAACUGUGUGCAGAUGAAAGCUAAUGAGAUGCUCACAAUUCAUUUGGAAGAUUUAUGUGUUUUCUCCUUGCUGCUCUGCUCUGCAAUAGUAUGUGUUAUUGCUGCAGAGGCUUGUGUCAUCACAGACCGAGAAUUGUACAAAUGGAAUUCUUACCGCAGCAGUCAAUACUAUGAAGAAUGGCUUUGUCAAGGCCUAAGGCUUUGCCUUCAAACUGAGAAACAGCUGUUUUCCUGGACAUGUGUGCAGCUAAAGGUUCUUCUGAAUCAUUUCCAGGUAUCAUACAGUCACUCUGGGAAGACCCCAGUUCCACUUCUUGUGGGUAGAUCCUCUCUGAAAUAUCUGAGGCUUGGCCUCUCAAGUCUCCCUCAAACGCACCAGGCUUUGACAUAGAUUUUCUAUCAGCUGUAGCUUUUGCAGACUUAAAAAUGAGAAAACAAGUUGAACCAUGAAAAAUGUAAAAAGAACUUCAGCGGGUUACAGAACAACAAAAGACUUAACCAAACACCACUGUACUUCUUGUCACCUUUUUGCACAAAAAGAUUAAGCACUGUAUUGUAUCAUUUUAAUCCUCACUUUCAAAGUAAGGGUUUUAUUUUGAACGCCAUCAGAUGUAUCAAUGCCAUAAUACAAAGCCCUCUUAGACUCUGAAAAUAAACCGUUCUAAUUAAG